Molecule: ribosomal RNA, 460 nt
Filed under: uncultured bacterium
Lineage: Bacteria
Description: partial 16S ribosomal RNA
Rfam family: Bacterial small subunit ribosomal RNA
Source: RNAcentral
CCUACGGGUGGCAGCAGUGAGGAAUAUUGGUCAAUGGGCGCGAGCCUGAACCAGCCAAGUAGCGUGAAGGAUGACUGCCCUACGGGUUGUAAACUUCUUUUAUAAGGGAAUAAAGUGAGGCACGUGUGCCUGUUUGAAUGUACUUUAUGAAUAAGGAUCGGCUAACUCCGUGCCAGCAGCCGCGGUAAUACGGAGGAUGCGAGCGUUAUCCGGAUUUAUUGGGUUUAAAGGGAGCGUAGAUGGGUUUUUAAGUCAGUUGUGAAAGUUUGCGGCUCAACCGUAAAACUGCAAUUGAUACUGGCAGCCUUGAGUACAGUUGAGGUAGGCGGAAUUCGUGGUGUAGCGGUGAAAUGCUUAGAUAUCACGAAGAACUCCGAUUGCGAAGGCAGCUUACUAAACUGCCACUGACAUUGAUGCUCGAAAGUGUGGGUAUCAAACAGGAUUAGAUACCCGAGUAGUC